GGGGACGACAGGCUUCGACGCGGUCGGUUCGCGGGGGUGGUUGCGAGUCGAGGUCCCGGGAGGCCUCGUUAAACACCCGGGAACCAAUAAGUGCGGACUCUCACGAGUACGCCCUCGUCGCUUAGUUAGAAGCUAAGUGAGAGGUCUCGGCCUCCGCCCGCCCGCGGCGGGGAUCUCCGGGAUCAGAUAGCGGGCUCACCCGGGAAGGCCCGCCUCCGCCGACCCGGGGACACCUUCAGGAGGCUGGCCCCGAGCAACCCGGCCGGCGAGGCGACCUCGGGGCGAGAUCAGAGCGCCGGCUACGCUCGUAGAAGCCACCUCUUGCGCGAUCGCGGACGCGGGUUCGAUUCCCGCCGUCUCCACUA
RNAcentral lists this transfer-messenger RNA (365 nucleotides) under Solirubrobacteraceae. RNAcentral describes it as "AC-64 sp005883215 Standard tmRNA". It matches the Rfam family "transfer-messenger RNA". From Rfam's summary of the family: Bacterial tmRNA, also known as 10Sa RNA or SsrA, is named for its dual tRNA and mRNA-like properties. Its role is to liberate the mRNA from a stalled ribosome. The record is from RNAcentral. RNAcentral also lists the same sequence under 1 other name. Lineage: Bacteria; Bacillati; Actinomycetota; Thermoleophilia; Solirubrobacterales.